CCUACGGGUGGCAGCAGUGAGGAAUAUUGGUCAAUGGACGGAAGUCUGAACCAGCCAUGCCGCGUGCAGGAAGACGGCUCUAUGAGUUGUAAACUGCUUUUGUACAAGGGUAAACCUGAAUACGUGUAUUCAGCUGAAAGUAUUGUACGAAUAAGGAUCGGCUAACUCCGUGCCAGCAGCCGCGGUAAUACGGAGGAUCCAAGCGUUAUCCGGAUUUAUUGGGUUUAAAGGGUGCGUAGGCGGAUUGAUAAGUUAGAGGUGAAAUGUCGGAGCUUAACCCGGGAACUGCCUCUAAUACUGUUGGUCUAGAGAUUAGAUGCGGUAGGCGGAAUGUAUGGUGUAGCGGUGAAAUGCUUAGAGAUCAUACAGAACACCGAUUGCGAAGGCAGCUUACCAAUCUAUAUCUGACGUUGAGGCACGAAAGCGUGGGGAGCAAACAGGAUUAGAUACCCCUGUAGUC
RNAcentral lists this ribosomal RNA (460 nucleotides) under uncultured bacterium. Its description in RNAcentral is "partial 16S ribosomal RNA". It matches the Rfam family "Bacterial small subunit ribosomal RNA", at positions 338 to 795 of the family's 1533-position model. The record is from RNAcentral.